GGGCCCUGAGGCAGGAACAUACCUGGUGACCUUUGGUAAGCAACUCCGGCCGCUGUGGAGCCCUUUGCAGCUCUGUUGCAGUUUCUUUCACCCAUGCCCCAGCAUUCUCCGGAAAUAGUGUAACCUGAUAGCAGUGCCUUCCUCUGUCCCUCUGCUGUAUCUGGCUUCUCAUGUGUGCCCUUAAAGUACAAAGAAGGUUAAUGUAUUGUAGACAGAAAACCUUCAAUAGAUCGCUGCUCUGCUUUGCGUUAAAACAUCAUCUCCCUGGGAGUUACCCGCUUCUGCUUCUGUCACAUGCAGGCCCUGUUGUUCUAUCCGAUGCCCUACUAGAUUGGAUGGUGAUUCACUAUGCAUAGCAUGGAUCUGCACAUGCCUAAAACAAUAUCAUCUAUUGCAAUAGCAAUAGUACCGGUUUAUCCUAGUUGUUAAUGUAAAAUAUGUAAUGUUAAGUAGCCCAUUGUAAUUCCAUGUCCAAUGUACAGCGAUUGAACAAAUUUCUAACGAGCAAGUGGUUUCUCAGACAAUGAAAAAGGAGGAAGAGGCAAGACCAACGGUGUCUGCUGCCCUUUGCUUGCUUUUUCUCACCCCUCCUGUAUUUCUACUCCUAAGCUUUAAAUAGCUCUGCUUCCAAGGUCUAUUCAAAUGCUAACAAGUCAG
RNAcentral lists this long non-coding RNA (657 nucleotides) under Mus pahari (shrew mouse). Its description in RNAcentral is "lncRNA (MGP_PahariEiJ_G0005275.1)". The record is from RNAcentral. Lineage: Eukaryota; Metazoa; Chordata; Mammalia; Rodentia; Muridae.